UGCAACUGCUGCAGCAUACUCUGCGUCCUCAGCUGGCUCUUUGUUACUCAUUUGGCGUGAGAACUGUCUCCUGAGCCACUUUUGAGUUUCGCAAUCAGUCUGUUCCAUGUACAUGAGGUCAUUAUUAGGAUCAUGCCCAAUAUUGUAAUUUACAAGCUGCUCAAAUCCAAGGACAGAUAAAGUUGACAUUGUUCUAAUCAUUUGCAAGCACUCUAUGUCAGCUUUUGGGAUUUUCUGCCAUACUCGAAAUUCCUCGAAUUCUAAGGGCCAAGGAAUUGCUCUAUCUUCUUCUUCAAUGCAUCAAAAGCUUCUGUUGUUAGGAUAGUUAGGGCGGUAGUAGAGUCUGCGAUGAAGCCUCUUGUCCCGUUAUUGUUCAUCUCAAACACUACUGGUCUUACAUCGAUGUCUUCUCUGUUCACUUGGACAGAGACCACAUCGAGGUAGUAGAAACUGGUGUGAAGGUUCUUUACCAUGUCAAGGGUAUCACCCCUGAGUUCUGCUGCUGGACCAAACUUGAUUAGGCUUGUUUUGGACAGGUCAUCGGAUAUACAAUAUGAGAACUUGGGAUCGUCCGGAUAUAGUUGCCUUGGGAGUGAUAAGCCACUAUUAGAUGCACCUGUUAAUAAGAAAAUAAAAAAAAUAAAAAAUAAAUAUGUUAUAAUUGAAAUUUGUUUGCUUAAUAUUGGAGAAAUGAAUCACUUUUUUCCUCUGUUGUAUACUUGUAUGUAUAUAGGCUAUAGCGUUGUCAAAUCAAUGACAAUUACGGAUCUAAGAUUUUACGGAUAGUGGCUCACUACUACUCCGUAAGUAACAAUGCAUUGGUAAGAAAAUAUCAAUCUCGAGAGUCAUUUCAGGUAGAGUCGUCUAUUUGAUGAUCCAAUCCGUUUUUAAUUAAAGGGAAAUUCUCAUUGGUAGCAAUGUAAAAUUGCACACUCUCAAUAGUAACAAAAUUUUUUACAAAUUCUCAAAAAUAGCAUUACUUUUGAUAAAUUUCUUUAACAUGACAAUAUUUUUCUAAUUAACAAAUAUUUAGCAAAUUGAUCAUCAUCAUCAACCCGCCCACCCCAUGGAACCCCCACCCUGUCGAACCCCCAUCUAGCACCACCACCUGCACGGUCUCCCUGUCUCACCGACCCCAUGACAACCCAAACGAAACCCCAACCCAAUCAAACCCCUAGCCAAUCGAACCCCCACCCAGUCGAAACGCCACAAUCGAAUCCCCGCCCAACUCUAUGGUGGUCAAAUCGAAUUUGUCGGUGGCUAUGGUGGUUGAAAUUGGGUAAGCCCAAAUUGGGUUCGGUUUGGGGUUAACAGCUGAUGGUGGUUCGAUGGGGUAUGGUGGAGAUGGUGGUCGAAGGAUCGAUGGGGUGUCGCGGAGAUGAUUGAAGGUUAAUGAAUGAUGGUGGUUCGAUGGUUAUGGUGGUAUGAUGGUUGUGAUCUUUGGUGGCAAUGUCGCGUUUAAGUUUUUACUUGUUCGAUCGCUCAAACUCAAGUGCAAUUAUCAAAAAUUCAUCACCUCAAUCAUCUCAAUAUGCAAAAAAGGCCUAAUUUCUACAGUUACAAGGUAAUUCCUUCUUCCUAAAUUUUAAACAAAAAACAAACUUUCUGCAUUAGAUUGCCAUGGAUGCCCUGUUUUACGUAUGAACUAAUGUUGAUGAAGUAUGAUUAUUGUAGGUAUCAAUCAAUAAAUUAAGUGAGGGUAAUUUAGUAAAUUAUUAUUACAUAACCAUGGUUAUUGUAUUUUAGGCUAAUAUAUCACAUUUAAUAAAAUAAAGCUAUACAAGGAAAUAAUUGUAAAACUAAUGCUAUUUAAGAGAAUUUACAAACUUUUAUUGCUACCAAUGAGAAAAACC
Molecule: long non-coding RNA, 1853 nt
Organism: Chenopodium quinoa (quinoa)
Lineage: Eukaryota; Viridiplantae; Streptophyta; Magnoliopsida; Caryophyllales; Amaranthaceae
Exons: 3
Source: RefSeq, a predicted model, not a curated record